UUCACCAGUUAUUCAGUUUGCCGUGUAGUGCCGAGCACAGUAACGUCAGAGAUAAUCAAUCUGCUGUUUAUUCAACUUCAAUCAAAAGAAGGUAAUAUAUGCAUUGCAAUAAAUUACAUGCAUUGUUUUCAUGUGUUUAUAUUGCAUUAUUGCAACAAGUAGGUAGCCUGUUUAACUACAGGGCUAUGGGCUAAGACAAAAAACACCAAGUUAAAUAAGCUGGAGAUGGAGAGAGGAACUUCAUGUUCUCCUAGUCUUAACUGUAAUUUAUGAAUUUAAAAUGUUAGAUUUUCAAUACUUCCGAUUUUUACGUGUUACAUUAAUUUUCACUUUUCAUAACCUAUUGACCUGUAAUCCUCAUGCACUGAUCCAGGAAUACAACACGAUACUCACUAAGGAUGAAGAUGACCUGCGGUUGCUCUUGCAGGUUGUUUCUAAUCAUCGUCAGCUACAUCCUUCUACAAGGAAGGCUGAACUCAGCCAACCAACACAGGACUGUGUAUUAAAACAGAGUUUGUUUCUCCUGGGGAACCGCCCAUCGCCCCCCCGUCACAGCAGCCAUGAAGCCAUCUACUGAGCCCUGACAGAAUUCCUUUUCUGCUUUUUCCGACGGCAUCUCAAAAGUCAUGCAGAGACAUGCUCAUUCUGGCUGUGGCGGAGGCACUGCAGGACAGUUAGGAGCAAGGCACAGGCGAUGAUCUCCGUUACUGCUCCUGGUCACCACAGAAAGGCAGCCCAGAACAAAGGUGAUUUAUACAAAGGAGGAGGACU
This is a long non-coding RNA of Brienomyrus brachyistius, 771 nucleotides long. RefSeq lists it as uncharacterized. Lineage: Eukaryota; Metazoa; Chordata; Actinopteri; Osteoglossiformes; Mormyridae. The record is from RefSeq and is a predicted model, not a curated record. The transcript has 3 exons.